RNAcentral lists this ribosomal RNA (495 nucleotides) under uncultured bacterium. RNAcentral describes it as "partial 16S ribosomal RNA". It matches the Rfam family "Bacterial small subunit ribosomal RNA", at positions 28 to 507 of the family's 1533-position model. The record is from RNAcentral.
GAUGAACGCUGGCGGCGUGCCUAAUACAUGCAAGUAGAACGCUGAAGGAGGAGCUUGCUCUUCUGGAUGAGUUGCGAACGGGUGAGUAACGCGUAGGUAACCUGCCUGGUAGCGGGGGAUAACUAUUGGAAACGAUAGCUAAUACCGCAUGACAACAGUUAUUGCAUGAUAACUGUUUAAAAGGGGCAACUGCUCCACUACCAGAUGGACCUGCGUUGUAUUAGCUAGUUGGUGAGGUAACGGCUCACCAAGGCGACGAUACAUAGCCGACCUGAGAGGGUGAUCGGCCACACUGAGACUGGGACACGGCCCAGACUCCUACGGGAGGCAGCAGUAGGGAAUCUUCGGCAAUGGACGGAAGUCUGACCGGGCAACGCCGCGUGAGUGAAGAAGGUUUUCGGGUCGUAAAGCUCUGUUGUAAGAGAAGAACGAGUGUGAGAGUGGAAAGUUCACUCUGUGGCGGUAUCUAACCAGAAAGAGACGGCUAACUACGUG